RNAcentral lists this ribosomal RNA (250 nucleotides) under uncultured prokaryote. Its description in RNAcentral is "partial 16S rRNA". It matches the Rfam family "Bacterial small subunit ribosomal RNA", at positions 525 to 775 of the family's 1533-position model. The record is from RNAcentral.
ACGUAGGGGGCGAGCGUUAUCCGGAAUUAUUGGGCGUAAAGAGUGCGUAGGUGGUUCUUUAAGCGUGAGGUGAAAGGCAAUGGCUUAACUAUUGUAAGCCUUGCGAACGGGAGAACUUGAGUGCAGGAGAGGUAAGUGGAAUUCCUAGUGUAGCGGUGGAAUGCGUAGAUAUCAGGAAGAACACCGAUGGCGAAGGCAGCUUACUGGAUUGUAACUGACGCUGAGGCGCGAAAGCGUGGGGAGCAAACAG